Molecule: ribosomal RNA, 727 nt
Filed under: bacterium AV-V-2
Lineage: Bacteria
Description: bacterial SSU rRNA
Rfam family: Bacterial small subunit ribosomal RNA
Source: RNAcentral
GCCUAACACAUGCAAGUCGAGCGGAAACGACACUAACAAUCCUUCGGGUGCGUUAAUGGGCGUCGAGCGGCGGACGGGUGAGUAAUGCCUAGGAAAUUGCCUUGAUGUGGGGGAUAACCAUUGGAAACGAUGGCUAAUACCGCAUAAUGCCUACGGGCCAAAGAGGGGGACCUUCGGGCCUCUCGCGUCAAGAUAUGCCUAGGUGGGAUUAGCUAGUUGGUGAGGUAAUGGCUCACCAAGGCGACGAUCCCUAGCUGGUCUGAGAGGAUGAUCAGCCACACUGGAACUGAGACACGGUCCAGACUCCUACGGGAGGCAGCAGUGGGGAAUAUUGCACAAUGGGCGAAAGCCUGAUGCAGCCAUGCCGCGUGUAUGAAGAAGGCCUUCGGGUUGUAAAGUACUUUCAGUUGUGAGGAAGGGUGUGUAGUUAAUAGCUGCGCAUCUUGACGUUAGCAACAGAAGAAGCACCGGCUAACUCCGUGCCAGCAGCCGCGGUAAUACGGAGGGUGCGAGCGUUAAUCGGAAUUACUGGGCGUAAAGCGCAUGCAGGUGGUUCAUUAAGUCAGAUGUGAAAGCCCGGGGCUCAACCUCGGAACUGCAUUUGAAACUGGUGAACUAGAGUGCUGUAGAGGGGGGUAGAAUUUCAGGUGUAGCGGUGAAAUGCGUAGAGAUCUGAAGGAAUACCAGUGGCGAAGGCGGCCCCCUGGACAGACACUGACACUCAGAU